GAUCCUGGCUCAGGAUGAACGCUAGCUACAGGCUUAACACAUGCAAGUCGAGGGGCAGCAUGGACCCAGCUUUGCUGGGUUUGAUGGCGACCGGCGCACGGGUGAGUAACGCGUAUCCAACCUGCCCUUUACUCCGGGAUAGUCUCCUGAAAGGGAGUUUAAUACCGGAUGUGUUUGUCUUUCCGCAUGGGAGCGACAAAUAAAGAUUAAUUGGUAAAGGAUGGGGAUGCGUCCCAUUAGAUAGUAGGCGGGG
RNAcentral lists this ribosomal RNA (253 nucleotides) under uncultured bacterium. RNAcentral describes it as "partial 16S ribosomal RNA". It matches the Rfam family "Bacterial small subunit ribosomal RNA", at positions 15 to 257 of the family's 1533-position model. The record is from RNAcentral.